ACAAAAACAAAAUACAGACAAUACAAUACAAAGAAAAGGUGAAAUUGAAUGUAGGCUAUAUAAUCACAUUUCCUUGAAAAAAUCUUGCAGUACAUCAGCUAUAUAAAUAAUUUUAUUAUUAAUAAUUUGGA
This is a long non-coding RNA of Sander lucioperca (pikeperch), 131 nucleotides long. RefSeq lists it as uncharacterized. The transcript has 2 exons. NCBI's taxonomy places the organism in Eukaryota, Metazoa, Chordata, Actinopteri, Perciformes, Percidae. The record is from RefSeq and is a predicted model, not a curated record.